UACGUAGGUGGCAAGCGUUGUCCGGAAUUAUUGGGCGUAAAGGGCGUGUAGGCGGCAAUAUAAGUCUGAUGUGAAAUCUUAUGGCUCAACCAUAAAACUGCAUUGGAAACUGUAUAGCUAGAGUGUCGGAGAGGAAAGCGGAAUUCCAUGUGUAGCGGUGAAAUGCGUAGAUAUAUGGAGGAACACCAGUGGCGAAGGCGGCUUUCUGGACGACUACUGACGCUGAGGCGCGAAAGCGUGGGGAGCAAACAGG
RNAcentral lists this ribosomal RNA (253 nucleotides) under uncultured bacterium. Its description in RNAcentral is "partial 16S ribosomal RNA". It matches the Rfam family "Bacterial small subunit ribosomal RNA", at positions 524 to 776 of the family's 1533-position model. The record is from RNAcentral.